UACAGAGGUCUCGAGCGUUAGGCGGAAUCACUGGGCUUAAAGCGUGUGUAGGCGGACUGGUAAGUACCUUGUGAAAUCCCACGGCUCAACCGUGGAACUGCUUGGUAUACUGCUUGUCUUGUGCAACCUAGGGGCGAGCGGAACAGAUGGUGGAGCGGUGAAAUGCGUAGAUAUCAUCUGGAACGCCAACGGUGAAAACAGCUCGCUGGGGGUUUGCAGACGCUGAGACACGAAAGCCAGGGGAGCGAACGGG
Molecule: ribosomal RNA, 253 nt
Filed under: uncultured bacterium
Lineage: Bacteria
Description: partial 16S ribosomal RNA
Rfam family: Bacterial small subunit ribosomal RNA
Source: RNAcentral